CGAGCGCAACCCUUGUCCUUAGUUACCAGCACGUUAUGGUGGGCGACUCUAAGGAGGACUGCCGGUGGACAACCGGAGGAAGGUGGGGAUGACGUCAAGUCAUCAUGGCCCUUACGGCCUGGGCUACACACGUGCUACAAUGGUCGGUACAAAGGGUUGCCAAGCCGCGAGGUGGAGCUAAUCCCAUAAAACCGAUCGUAGUCCGGAUCGCAGUCUGCAACUCGACUGCGUGAAGUCGGAAUCGCUAGUAAUCGUGAAUCAGAAUGUCACGGUGAAUACGUUCCCGGGCCUU
Molecule: ribosomal RNA, 292 nt
Filed under: uncultured Pseudomonas sp.
Lineage: Bacteria; Pseudomonadati; Pseudomonadota; Gammaproteobacteria; Pseudomonadales; Pseudomonadaceae
Description: partial 16S ribosomal RNA
Rfam family: Bacterial small subunit ribosomal RNA
Source: RNAcentral